This 31-nucleotide ribosomal RNA is filed under the name Fusarium oxysporum. RNAcentral's name for it is "partial 18S ribosomal RNA". The record is from RNAcentral. Lineage: Eukaryota; Fungi; Ascomycota; Sordariomycetes; Hypocreales; Nectriaceae.
UAGGGUGACCUGCGGAGGGAUCAUUACCGAG